This 357-nucleotide unclassified non-coding RNA is filed under the name Sitophilus oryzae (rice weevil). Its description in RNAcentral is "mediator of RNA polymerase II transcription subunit 15-like, transcript variant X3". The record is from RNAcentral. Lineage: Eukaryota; Metazoa; Arthropoda; Insecta; Coleoptera; Curculionidae.
UUUAAAUUAAUUGUACGUACCUUUUCUCUGGUUUAAAGAAAGAAUUUAACAAGAGAGAUUUGAAAUGAAGCCAUAGAAUCCUGCACAUUAAAAGUAUCAAGGUAUGGUAGAAAAGCUGAAAAAAGAAUAUUUGAAAAAUCGUCUAAUAAACUACAGUAUUUGGGCUAUGUGGCUAGAAUAAUACUUGAUAUUCGUCAAAUGAUUGUGGUUAGUGAAGAUUGGCUUGAUAAACAGAUAACAAAAAUAUUAAGUAAGCCCGCUCCGAAGCUCCGAAGAGUUUUAACUCCUUCAGAAUUGGCCAAAUAUAACAUUAAUUUAAUAAAAUUACAGAAUGAAUUAAAGAAACUAUAGAAAAUA